Long non-coding RNA from Xyrauchen texanus (razorback sucker), 3441 nucleotides. RefSeq lists it as uncharacterized. The transcript has 3 exons. NCBI's taxonomy places the organism in Eukaryota, Metazoa, Chordata, Actinopteri, Cypriniformes, Catostomidae. The record is from RefSeq and is a predicted model, not a curated record.
UCCUCCCUUUGCAUCUCAGUGUUCGAUUUGCUCGGUAGAUCUGUGAAAUGGUCUUUAUACAUAUUUUAACAUCUGUGAGAAAACUCUCAUGUCGACACAAGAGAUGGUGCAACAACCAAGCAACAGCUGAUCUCCACGCCGACCAGAGCCCCCCCGUCUGCAUCUUUGAUCUCGAACGGAUCAGCUGAAACACGGCUCGCUUAUUAUUCAGACAGGAGAGAGAUAUCUACACGCUAACACGCGUAGGGCAAACUUCAGGGGUGCCAUGUGCUCUUCAAGGCCAAAUCAACUUGUGUAAUUAGUUUCUUGGAAUUUGGAAGUUUUCCACCUGUCCUCAUUCACUGUCGUGUAAACACUCGGGGUGGGAAUCACAAGGUAACUGGUGAUACAAUACAAUAUCGAUAUUUAGGUCACGAUAUGAAAUCAUUGCGAUAUUUCACUAAGUGUUGCUCAUUCGUCUUCAUCGGACUUAAAGGGGUAGUUCAUCCAAAAAUGUAAAUUCUCUCAUUCACAUAUGCUGAUGCCUCAGAUGUAUUCUGUCUUUCUUCAGCAGAACACAAAUUAAGAUUUUUAGAAAAAUGUUGAAGCUCUGUAGGUCCUUAUAUUGUAAGUAAAUGGGUGCCGUCAAUCUGCUGUCUGAUGGUCCAAAAGUCAUAUUUAGGCUGCAUAAAACUCAAUCACGACUCAAUCAAUUAAUGUCUUCUGAAGUAAUUUUUUUUUUAACUUCAAAUCGUUGCUUCCGCCCAGCGCUGGGAUGCUGUUAGAAAUGAACUAAUUCUCGCCUGUCAUUUGUUCCUCUGUUGAUUACAAAGUGCUUCCAACUUCACGCGUGAAUGCACCAUAUAGCGCUUACGACACUGAUGUGUCAACUGCUGACAGGAAGUGACUGACAAGUGUCAGUCACCUCCGCUUCUGAGACCGUCAAUCUGUGCAUCUGAUCACGUGACUCGUUGUGCAUGACACCGCGGAGACUCACAGCAUGUGGAGGCUCAUGCUACUCUCCACGAUCCACACCCAACUCACCACACGCCCCAUUGAGAGAACCACUAAUCACCACCAUGAGGAGGUUACCCCAUGUGACUCUACCCUUCCUAGCAACCAGGCCAAUUUGGUUACCCCAUGUGACUCUACCCUCCCUAGCAACCGGCCCAAUUUGGUUGCUUAGAAGACCUGACUGGAGUCACUCAGCACACCCUCUAAAUUGAAACCAGUGUCAAAAUAAUUGUUUUCCUAAAAAUGAUGACAGUUAUGGGUCAUUUCCAUCACACUAAUAGAGUUUGUUUAAAAGUGAGUGUGGAUAAAAGUGUCAGUAAAGGGCAUGCUUGAGAUAACAUUUGAGAAAAAGACAAAUCAAGGGAAAUAUCACUUUUUAUUGGUUGUCAUUUCCAAUCAAGCUGUAAGUUUGCUAAAUUAUGCAAAAAGUGUGAAAAUAUGAAUUACUUGUGUGUAUUUAAAAUGCAUAUAUUGCUAGCUAUGAAAUUAGCCAUUUUAUUUGAAAAGCGCUAAAAAUGUCAUUUCCGGCACAGAAUUCUAUAGAUGAUGUGCUUGAAAUGACACUGUGGUGGGAAUUGUCAUGACAAAAAUGUGCACGCCUGUGACUACACAGCUUAUACUACCAUAACGCCCACCUCUUUUCACAGAUUAGCAUGUUACUAGACUCACAUGUUCCUUUUCUACUUCCUUUACAUGAUUAAUGCCUCCUCACCCCACCACCAAACCGCUCUAUUUUUAGCUGCCAUGUCAAAAGGGGGCCGCAGUUCACACGACGGAUGAAAUCAUCACAUACAGUCUCUUUGUUUCACUGUUAACGCAGAGAAUCAAGUCUGUGAAAUGGAAAUGAGUGUCGCUUGUUGUCUUUGUGACUAGCACUCGUGUGAAUGAUUUCUCUCAGACGCUGGAAUCCCGUCAAGUUCUGCCGAAAACUGGAGUGAGUAAGAGAGAGGAAAGAGAGAACAAAAACCACACAGAAGACAAAAACAGAUUCCCACAAGAGAGGGAAAAAAGUGUUUAAAAAUGUCCAGACAGGUGAGUCUUCUGUGUGCUAGACAGACAUUGUUUAGGUGAGGUGGAUUUGGAUCGGCUGAUAAAGUGUGGCUCUCCGGCAUUUCUGUGCCAUCACAUAGGUGGGCUGGGGGCAUGCCAGGCACUGGCAAACACUCUUGCUGCGGUGGCAGCUGAGGCACGCUAUUUUGAUGCGGUUUCAGGAUGUUACAUGCCGGUUGUUUAGUCAGAAACAUCCCAACAUGGCUUCCCUGCUAAAAAACGUCCCCGCAUUAGCAAUGUGACACGUGAAGUGUUUAGUGGCGCUACAGCACAAUUUUUUUGUCUUAUUUUUUGUAUAGGUUGAUAAAAAGUUAAGUUGAUAAUUAAAUUAAUUUACAAACUUGCGCAGUUAGAUUGGGAUAACAUGUCAAAAAACAAAAGUGGAUCGCCCCUGUUAUUUGCUCUUAUUUUCACCAUUUGCAAAGGGGGACAUUUUUUAAAAAACAGCUGAAAUGAAUAAAGGCAAAGGGUUGGGAGAUGUGUGUGAUGUUUUAUUUAUUGUCUGAUUAUAUUUUGUCUCCUGCUGCCCGAUACCUUGCUUUCCUCUUGUGCUCUCUGUGUAUUUCAUUGGCUGUGGCUCAUUGUUGGUCUUGGGACGAUGCUGUGCACACAUGAUGACAAGACAUCAAGAUAUCAAGCAGGUUUGAAAUCUGUCAUAGUGUCCACGACUAGUCUCAGCACGUCGCUUGAGUGCACACAAUACACAACUGUUUGAUGCGAGAUCUGAGACUUCUCAUCGCAGACCAGUUGCAGACUCAAAACCUAAAGUAGACGAGCUUGAGUCCUAUAGGCAUCUUUAGAGUUUUCACAAAGAGAAUUGAAAUGUCGAGUUUUUACUCUUAUUGUCAAUGUUAUUUGGAUUGGCCUAUCUGGCCGCAGUGUUUCCACAGAAACUGUGUAUGAAAACCAGAGAAAUGAACUAAUGUCAGCGCCUCGCGGGUCAUUGUGUCCACAUCCUGCUCCGUAUAAUUCCAGACGAUUUCUCAGAGGUAUGCGUUGGACUGCGGCCCAGUAGGAAAGGCCGUGUGGCGUCUCCUCCUCCACUGGCAGUCGGGCUGAAGCUUGUGGGAAGAAAAUAAUCCAGUGUCAUCCGAUGCAGCGUGGAAAACUGACGGCCAAGCCAGGCAGGGUAUGCCGCAAUGGGAGGAGGAGGUUUCUGGAAGUUUGAGUUCAACAGGAUCUUUGCCAAACAUUGUGUUUGCUUGCAGCCGUGUUCAACCAAGACUGGAAGUGUUUGUGCGUCUUUAUGGAUCGAAUGUGUGAAAAUCUUCCUUCAGUGUUCUCUUCGCCAGAUAUUUGCAGCCCAAAGUGACUCAAAAUUGUCAAAAUAAAAAAUGCAUGACUGUUAGCUUUGAGGUCAUCUAUAUGGUAUUAUAUUCCUUAUAACUGGCAACAUAA